This 1599-nucleotide long non-coding RNA is filed under the name Triticum aestivum (bread wheat). RNAcentral's name for it is "long non-coding RNA (TAES_LNC017533)". Lineage: Eukaryota; Viridiplantae; Streptophyta; Magnoliopsida; Poales; Poaceae. The record is from RNAcentral.
GAAGCGUGAAGUCUUAUAGAAAAUAAAAUAAACAUGUCAGUCGAGGCUAAGAUAGCCUCGGUAGGGAUAACAUGACGCACUUAUGCAUCAAUGGUCCUACUGGUAGACCAUAAUCAAAAUAGGUUGAAGAUAGAUUUGGCUACACCUAGAUAUCUGAGAAUGUCAUGCGUCCACACACUAAAGUAAGAACCACGUACGGAUCCAAUAGUCAUGUGGAUAACCUACAAGGAAUCGAAAAAUCUUUUGCUGUUAAAAACUGUCAACGAUUAAUGAACAGCCAAUUUUAUGAUCUACAUGGAGUCGAGGAAUGUAGAGUGACAGAUGGUGCCCAAAGGGAUCUCAACGGCGAUGAAGGUGACAUGGUAGUUUUACCUAGGUUCAGGUCCACGGAUGAGUAAUAGCCCUACGUCUUACAUAUAUGUCUUUAUUGUUGAGAGGAUUACAAUGGUCAUGAACUUGUAGGUUAACUCCAUAUCAGACACACAAUAUGCAUGAACAUUGAAAAAGGAUACUACUAAGUAGUAGAAUAGAAGGGGAUAAUUAAAUGACCAAUUGAACAUGUCAUCAAUUCACACAAUUGACCAUAUAACUAUAUUAGAACACACAAAAAAAAUGAAAAGGGGGGGAAGGCCCCGGCCUCUGCAUCAUCAAGAUGGACACAUCCAAAUAAAACAGAUAUGACAAGUUCACACAUACCUGGGCAUUUGUAAGUAAAUUUUGGUGCUCCAGAAAAUAAUACACCUAACGACCACCAAUGCUAGACCAUCAGGAGCUGAUGAAGAUUUACCAAUUUCCUCGUCCCCUUUUCUUUUUAAAAAUGACUGCAUUGACUCUGCUGUUUCCCCAUUGCUUCCUAAAUAAAGAAAAUGCACAAAUCAUCCAGAUUUCAAUCAAUUAAACAAUGGGUGUACACCACUGGGGUUCGACAUCGAAAUUUAGUCAAUCAUCUUGGGCGCUUGCACUAAUCAGAAAAAUAAGACAACCCGGGGCCAGUGGCGGAGGACGAAACUUUUUUGAGGUGGGGCGAACUCUUAAGCAAUUUUUUUAAUGCAAAACCAACAUAGAUAUAGAAUUGCUUUGCAUUAUAUUUUUCAUAGCAAACUUUCCAUCUACACGCUCUUGUUUGAAAGAAUCCUUCAUUUUAUUUUCUAAUGCAACCAAAUAAACUACUCCCUCCGUCCCACAGUGUGUAGUGUCAAAAAAACGUCUUACAUUAUGGGACGGAGUAGUAAAAUCUUUUAGGAUUCGAAAUAGAGUGGCAUUGCAAUCUUAUACUUUUUUUUCUUCUUCUACUCCUUCUUUUUUAAAUCCUGCGGAUUAAAGAAGCCCUUAGCAAUUUGAUAGUCAGCACACCGAUCUUUAGGCAUUUAACUAACGGUUCAGAGAAGAUUCACGGGAGCACAACAUGGGUGUUUCACUCGAGAAAGCUUCUCCUAAAAACAAAGAACAUCAGCAAGAGCCUGAUAUGCGCUGAACUCGCUAAUCAAUCACCACGGCUAGCCGGGGCACUAAUCAGAAAAACAAGACAACUCGGGCGCGGGCACUAAUCAGAAAAAUAGGACGUGGUUACUGUACUGAACAUACCUAACCAAAACCAAG